CGAUGGAUAGGGGUUCUGAGAGGAAGGUCCCCCACAUUGGAACUGAGACACGGUCCAAACUCCUACGGGAGGCAGCAGUGAGGAAUAUUGGUCAAUGGACGAGAGUCUGAACCAGCCAAGUAGCGUGAAGGAUGACUGCCCUAUGGGUUGUAAACUUCUUUUGUACGGGAAUAAAGUGGAGUAUGCAUACUCCUUUGUAUGUACCGUAUGAAUAAGGAUCGGCUAACUCCGUGCCAGCAGCCGCGGUAAUACGGAGGAUCCGAGCGUUAUCCGGAUUUAUUGGGUUUAAAGGGAGCGUAGGCGGGUGCUUAAGUCAGUUGUGAAAGUCUGCGGCUCAACCGUAAAAUUGCAGUUGAUACUGGGCGCCUUGAGUGCAGCAUAGGUAGGCGGAAUUCGUGGUGUAGCGGUGAAAUGCUUAGAUAUCACGAAGAACUCCGAUUGCGAAGGCAGCUUACUGGACUGUAACUGACGCUGAUGCUCGAAAGUGUGGGUAUCAAACAGGAUUAGAUACCCUGGUAGUCCACACAGUAAACGAUGAAUACUCGCUGUUGGCGAUACACAGUCAGCGGCCAAGCGAAAGCAUUAAGUAUUCCACCUGGGGAGUACGCCGGCAACGGUGAAACUCAAAGGAAUUGACGGGGGCCCGCACAAGCGGAGGAACAUGUGGUUUAAUUCGAUGAUACGCGAGGAACCUUACCCGGGCUUAAAUUGCAGCGGAAUGUAGUGGAAACAUUACAGCCUUCGGGCCGCUGUGAAGGUGCUGCAUGGUUGUCGUCAGCUCGUGCCGUGAGGUGUCGGCUUAAGUGCCAUAACGAGCGCAACCCUUAUCUAUAGUUACUAUCAGGUCAUGCUGAGGACUCUAUGGAGACUGCCGUCGUAAGAUGUGAGGAAGGUGGGGAUGACGUCAAAUCAGCACGGCCCUUACGUCCGGGGCUACACACGUGUUACAAUGGGGGGUACAGAAGGCAGCUACCUGGCGACUGGAUGCUAAUCCCUAAAACCUCUCUCAGUUCGGAUUGGAGUCUGCAACCCGACUCCACGAAGCUGGAUUCGCUAGUAAUCGCGCAUCAGCCACGGCGCGGUGAAUACGUUCCCGGGCCU
Molecule: ribosomal RNA, 1101 nt
Filed under: uncultured bacterium
Lineage: Bacteria
Description: bacterial SSU rRNA
Rfam family: Bacterial small subunit ribosomal RNA
Source: RNAcentral